This is a non-coding RNA of Marchantia polymorpha subsp. ruderalis, 88 nucleotides long. NCBI's taxonomy places the organism in Eukaryota, Viridiplantae, Streptophyta, Marchantiopsida, Marchantiales, Marchantiaceae. The record is from the annotation of a GenBank genome assembly.
GAAAUUUUGAUCUGGUUUUAGAUCCUGGAUUCCUUCCCUUGAGAUUUCCGUGGAAGGAACUCAGGAUCUGGAAGUAGAUGAAAAUUUC